This is a long non-coding RNA of Manis pentadactyla (Chinese pangolin), 6467 nucleotides long. RefSeq lists it as uncharacterized. Lineage: Eukaryota; Metazoa; Chordata; Mammalia; Pholidota; Manidae. The transcript is spliced from 3 exons. The record is from RefSeq and is a predicted model, not a curated record.
ACAAAACACACGAAACGACUCCAAUCUCAUCUAGAAAUCAGCUCUCCAAAUCGAGAUCCUCCUUGGAAGAAACAAAACUCCUAGUUGCCUACCCACACCCCAUUCAUCAGGAAAGGUCACUUUAAAAGGACUCCCACAACACAAGAACGCUGGAAUCGCCCCUCGAGGAAGUGGCUGGCUCUCCGCCGAGGUCACACCGGGGAAGGCUGCGGCACCCCCGGCAGAUGCCGCCGGCCCACCCCGGGAAGGCGGCCCUUCCUCCUCCCUCCCUCGCCACGUCAGGAGCCGCGGACGAGAGGGCCACGCGUGUGGCUGGCGGGGCGGGAGCUCCGGACGCCGCUCGGUCCGCCGGCUGCCAGGCGGGUCCCGUGAGCCCGCGCGGGACGCCGGGUCUUCUCGCGCGGCGCGGCUGCGGCCCACGUCGCCGCCCCGCCCCGCCCGCGCCCCCACCCCGCCCCGGCCACUGAGCCCUCUGCGUAGGCCGCUCGGGCCCGGCUCCCUGGGUCCUGGGUCGGCCAACUGGGCCCCGCGUGCGCGGCGUGGCGACGGGCGGGCGCGCGAAGGCAGCCAGGGUGCUGCGGCUCAGGAUGCCUCAUGGGCCGCCGCGCUCCUGCGCCGCCCGCCCGGGGAGGGCGCCAGCCUCGGGCCUCACCUCUCUCGGGGGCCGCCACCGCUGCUGCCCGGGACGAGACGCCUCCUUCCCCAAGCGGCCAUCUUGGAGACUCUCUGCUUGCAAGCGACUCGCGCCGAGGCGGCCUGGGGAUGGUGGGUGGGCGGAAGGGAAAUGUAGUCCUAGCCGCAGCCCGGGACGGGGAGUGAGGCGGAGGCCGGGCUCCAGUGGACUACCAGGACCACAAUGCCUCGCGCGCCGGAAGCCCCGCCCGGGCCCUGGGAACCGCGGUCCGGCAGCGGGCGUGUCCUGCCGUUCCCCGCGAGUCGGUACGCCGGGUGUGCAGCCGGGGCAACACCAGCGUCCACCGCGGGCGCAGCCUUGAGCCUCGGGGGCAAAGAGCUGAAGGAGAGCUGGAAGGACGGUGCCGCAACUACGCGCCACCCCCAGCCUUUCCCGCGCCCCCGCCCCCGCCUUUCCCCACGAAGGCCACCGGGGCGGGAGGCACCCCCAGCUCUCUGGACUGCGGUGCUGCGCCGCGAACUCGACGGACGCGGUCUCUGCCGCGGAGGCCUCUGCGUGCGAGCUUCUGGAAGACCGAAGGCAAAGAGGAGAAAGUGGUCACAGCAUGUGGUAGUUGCUAUGAGAGAAACGGUAUCUGCGACGGAGAAAAGCCCGUUUUAGACAUAAGGGCCCCGGGCCCCUUCGGCCCUGCCCUACACGCCGCUCUGUCCCGGCUGCGGUGACAGAAACGUGAUCUUGUAUUUCGGUGUCUUUGACGGCAUUUGCAGGGCAAGUCACCCACCUCACAGCAGCCCUGCCUGGACGCUGCUGUAAAGAGGCACAGCCAAGAUGGACUAAAGGGAGCCCAGCUAUUCCUAGAUGCUCCCUCAGACGUGGGAGCUAUUUGGCGGAUCUUUGGCAGUUUUUGAACUGCUAGUCCCUCUUUUCCCACAACAUGGCUGAACAUUCGUGGGUCGCAUAGUUAGUCCCAUAAAUAUUGAGCAACUCUUCUAUGCCAAAAUCUGCCCAGAUCAGAGGCGGGAAGAAACGCAGCACCCGCUCUGAGCGCCGAGUGUGGUGGGACUCGGGAGCAGGGCUGGAGGACUGGUGGGUGUAGAUUUGACUCUUUAUCACGGAGGAUUCCUCAGGAUUUCCUUGCAGCUGAUGUUCUACAGUAGGUGUAAGUGCAUGAAGUCUCCUCCUUCGUUGCCUGACAUGUAAAAGUCGAACUCGGCACAGUCUAGACGCUCCUCUGCAGUUUGGAGGGUGCCUGCCUCCCCAGGUUCAACUGCCUACUUCUCAGACCUGGGACUUGCCGGGCUCGCAAAUUCAGAGGGUUUGAAGGUCCCCAGAUGUUCCAUGCUUUGCCUAAAAUACCUUUCUCUCCCUGCCAGCUUUGCUUCUAGACCUUGGGCCUGUGUGAUCCUUCAGAAGUAUCUGUUGGGUCAACCCUGCCUGCAGGUACCAACACGUGGUAUGUGCUAGAGAUCUCUGAACAACUACCAUGUUGGCUUGGCCCUGCCUAUGGCUAAGUCUGCUUUCUCUGGCCCCUUGUGGUGAUCAGGCUUUCUAGGGAUUUUAGAACAGCUGGGCUUGAAGCAUGGCUCCACACUCUGGAUCUGGAUCUUGUAUAACCUCUGUUUCUCAGUUUUCUUGUUUAUAAGGUGGGGGUGAUAUUAGAGACUCUCCUCAGAGGACUUCUCUGAGUAUUGCAUAAGAGGACAUGUGUAUGGAACUUAGAGCAGUGCACAAGGUGACGAUAACGGACGACUAUGGCAUGCCAAGCCCUGUUCUAAAUAUUUGAAGUGAUUUAACUCUUGAUCUUCAAAACAGCCCUAUGGAAGUGAUACUGUUACUAUCAACAUUAUCAUUUUGCAAAUAAGGAAACCAGGCUGCAGAGGACCCUAGUGAUUCACCAGGGCCAUGCUGCCUGUCAGGAUUGGUAUCAGGAUUUGAACCCAAGCUGUCUGGUUGCAGAGAUCACACCAUGCAGCGUGCCUCUCAGGAGGACCUCGGGAAAUGCCUGUCAUCUUUGAUGAGGACAGGUCCCAGCCCAAUGACUAGUGCUGGAGGAAAGGCUUCAAAAACAUGGGCUCCUUCUUCGUGUGCCUGGGACCUGAAAAUGGAUUUGGCUGCUGCCCAUGACUGCCUGGAUGCCUCCCAAAGAGGGUCCAGGGAGGCCUGGGGGUACACUAGGAAACUUCCAGGCCCACAGCAGGAGGGAGGUGUUUCCAUCCUGAUUCUGGCACCAAGCCACCUAGGGAACUUUGUAAUUCAUUUAUUCAACAAAUAUUUAUUGAGCAUUUCCUAUGUUGCCAGACACAGUUUUUGCCAUAAAGAAGAUGGGUAUGGUCCUUCCCUAGUGGAACUCUACUUGUAGUGGCAGGAGUUGGUCUAACAAGCAAGGAAACAAGAAAAUUCUAAGUAGUGAUUAAGAUCAGAAUAGGAUGUGGUAAUGGAAUAGAGAGUGCCCAGGGAGGCAACUUAGAUAGGGAGGUCAGGGAAGGAAACGUGUGCCUUUCCUUCUGCUUGGAAUAUGGUUGUGAUACCUGGAGGGAAAGCACCCAUUUUGUGACCUUUAAACAACAAGCAUGAAGGCAAAAGCCAUCAUGCUGAGGGUGGUGCAGACAGAAGAUGAAAAGCGGCUGGGUCUUCAGUGAAAUCACUGCACCACCACGCAAGCCCUGGACCUUCACUCUCCAGACCUCAUGAUAUGUAAGACGCGGAAGCAGAGGCCCAGAGCAGUGCCAGCGCCUCGUGAGUCGCACACAGCUGGGCCCUGGGAGGGCCGGUGCUGCUCAGAGAUGAUCUGACAAGCCCUGUUGGGGACGGGGGUGAAGUGCCACCUUCUCCCAAAGGCAGAAGCGCAGGGGAGGCUUCGGCGAUGACUGCGCCCCACUCCGCAGAUGGGGAAACUGAGGGGCAGGGACUUGCUUGAGAAGUCACAGGACUGCGGGAAGGAGAGGAUUAUUCUCUGAGAAGGGACUCGACCAGCCUACGUCCAGUUCCAUCUUUUUCGCACCAGAAGCUACAGUCCCUCUCAUCCACAGCUGUGCGCUGAACUCCGUGACUGUAGGUCACUGUUUACUAGUUGGUUAAUUAAGGUGUAAGCUCCUCGUUCACUCCCAUGUGACCACCACCCAAAUCAAGAUAGGGAACACUUGUGGUUCUCUGGGCCCUUCUAACCGGUGCCCCAUCCCAUGAGGUAACCUAUCCUUGACUUCUAGCGUCAUUGACUCAUUUGCUUUUCCUAGAACAUCAUAAAAACAAAAUCAUGUAGUACUGUCUUGCCAAUGGGUUUCAGCCCCUGGCAAGUUCACUAUGGAUUCAAUGUCACCAAAGAAAUUGACAGCAAAACGUUCUUGGGAUGAAAGGGUUAUACCCAACUUUAUUUCCAAGUGGCAGGUCAGUCACUAGAGUCCCAUUCACUCAAAGUGAGUCUGCAUGCAACAAGCUGGUCUCUGCCUCUGGGCCCCUCUGUCCGCACAGCCGUCCUCUGGGCCUCUCUGCACAACCAUCCUGCACAGCCGUCCUCUGGGCCCCUCUGUCCUCACAGCUGUCCUCUGGGCCCCUCUGCCCACACAGCCGUCCUCUGGGCCCCUCUGCAUAGUCGUCCCGCACAGCCAUCUUCUGGGCCCUUCUGUCCACACAGCUGUCCUCUGGGCUCCUCUGCCUGCACAGCCGUCCUGCACAGCCAUCCUCCGGGUCUCUCUGCACAGUCAUCCUGCAGAGCUGUCCUCUGGGCCUCUGUCCUUGGCGCUGCCAGCACUCCAGCCUCUGCUCUGCUCUCCUGCAGCCUUGCAGCCCUGCCACUGUGUCAUGCCCAGAGCACUGGGCAGAGCUCUUCAUAUAGAGUCAACAGCCAUGUAUUGCCCACAGGUGUGCAGUGAGCUAGUCAACCACAGGAAUUCUCAUUUUAUCCACAAGUACCUACUUUUUAGUGUCCAGCUUCCUUUUGUUCAGCAUUGAAUGUGUGAGAUUCAUCCGUGCUUUUGUGUCUUCCUCAUCACUCAAUAGUAUCCCAUUGUGUGCUAGCCACACACCUGUUGAUGGACAUUUGGGUUGCUUGACUAUUUUGACUAUUUUGAAUCAACCUGCUGUGGACAUCAUUGAACACAUCUUUUGGUGUCCUUAUUGUAGCAUGCCUCUUGGGAGCCACCAGGAAUACACUGUGGAUCUCAUACAAGGUGUAUUUUUACUAUUAGGAGAAAUUGCAGACCUUUUCUGAAGUGGCUGUACCAUUUUACACUCCUAUCAACAAUUUUGAGAGUUUCACUUGGUGUCACAGUGUUUCCAGUCUUUUUUAAGUUUAGCCAUUAUGAUUAGUGUGACAUGGGCUUUCACUGGCUUUCAUUUGUAUUUGCCUGAUGACUGAUGGUCCUGAGCCUUUUCCAUAUGCUCCUUGGCCAUUUGGGUAUCCACUUUUGUGAAAAGCUUGUUUAAGUAUUUUGCCUACUCAUUUUUCUUCUUUUUGAGUUGUUGGAGUUUGGUUUUCAGUCCUUUGUCAGAUAUUACUGAGAAUAUCCUAGCAUUUUUUUUUUAAGCAAGUGUCUUAUUAUAGAGUUCGAAAACAAAAGACGGCUGAGGUGUAGGUCAUUAUAUACAAGGAGACAGAAAGGGAUUCUGGGGUCAGAAGGGGCCUUGACCUCAGCUGAGUCAGGGCUGGCUGCAAUCCUGAGCAAGCAAGAUGUGACCUUGCAUAUGUCUCAGGUGACUUCUUUUGUUUACAAAGUACUUGAGUAGGGUGGGGAGGCCAGAAGAAGUGUCUGGAAAUUCCAUGAACAGGACAUGCCGUGCCCCAUUUGGGCCUUUGCAUCUGGUGUUGUCCAAACAUCACCUUCUCUGGGAAGCCCUCACUGGUGCUUACCAGCCAGCUUGGGUCCAGGGAGGCCCCUUAUUGAAUAAGUCUCUGGCAGGGUCCAGUGCACACCAGGCCCAUCCUAAGAGCCCUAGAUCCUCCCUGUUUUUGACUCAUUUCUUUCUCUCCUACUUUUGAAUGUCUAUUAAUUUGCUGGAGUCUUUAAACCUUGCAUAAAUCCUUUGUGGAACAAGCCUAUGGAUCAAUAAAAGAGUAAAGUGAGCAAUUGAUGUCUGCUGAGUUGAAUGGACUUGCUCUAUCUUUUGACCCAGAACAUGCUGGUCAUGAAAAAGACUUCGGGGAGGGGUGAAUCAAUGUGAGACCACUGAAGUUUGAAAGCAAAGUGGAGUCCCAGUAGUCUUGGAGGAGAUGGGCCCUGGGUGUUGAAAGCACCUAUGGCUCGGGCCUGGUGGGGCUGCAUGGAUAAGGAUAUCAUUUAUUCAGUCAAUUAUCUAUUCAUUUAGCAAAUAUUUAUUGAGCAUCUACUAUGUAAAGUGCUAUUCUAAGGGUACACAACAGUGAACAAAGCAAAACAAGCUCCUUGCCCUUUAGGAGCUUAUGUUCUGGAAGAGAGGGAGAUAAUAAAGAAAUACAUAAAUACACGGUCCAUCUUGUGGGGACAAGUGCCCCCGAGAGGGAUUCGUCUGGGAGGGUGUGGGGCAAGACCCUGGAGGAGGUUUCCGGCGGGACGGCCAGGACAUAGCUCAACUGACUUGGGGUCUUUUUAAUGACAGACUUGAAGCAGGUAAGGGAGUGAGUCAGGAGAUAUCAGGUGGCGGGGAAGGAGUGGUCAAGGCAGAGGACAGCCAGUGCCAAGGCCCUGAGGAGUGUUUGAAGAACAGGGUGGGGCUCUUAGCUUUUACUCUGAGCCAGGAGGGAGCCACAGGAGGAUUUUGAGGAUACAGUCUUAGGUUUUCUUGUGUUUCUUUUUAAUGCUGGAAAAUUUCAAUCUUAAAUGUAAAUGGAAUAGUAAAAUAAAUCCCAGUGUACCCAUCA